UGGGGGUUGGCGAAGCGGAUUAACGCAUCGGUAUUUGACGCCGACAUUUUCAUCAGUUCAAAUCUGAUACCCCCAG
RNAcentral lists this transfer RNA (76 nucleotides) under Bacteriophage sp. Its description in RNAcentral is "tRNA-Gln". It matches the Rfam family "tRNA". Rfam says of the family: Transfer RNA (tRNA) molecules are approximately 80 nucleotides in length. Their secondary structure includes four short double-helical elements and three loops (D, anti-codon, and T loops). Further hydrogen bonds mediate the characteristic L-shaped molecular structure. tRNAs have two regions of fundamental functional importance: the anti-codon, which is responsible for specific mRNA codon recognition, and the 3' end, to which the tRNAs corresponding amino acid is attached (by aminoacyl-tRNA synthetases). tRNAs cope with the degeneracy of the genetic code in two manners: having more than one tRNA (with a specific anti-codon) for a particular amino acid; and 'wobble' base-pairing, i.e. permitting non-standard base-pairing at the 3rd anti-codon position. The record is from RNAcentral.